AUUGAACGCUGGCGGCAUGCCUUACACAUGCAAGUCGAACGGCAGCGGGGGAGAAGCUUGCUCUUCCUGCCGGCGAGUGGCGAACGGGUGAGUAAUACAUCGGAACGUGCCCUGUAGUGGGGGAUAACUAGUCGAAAGAUUAGCUAAUACCGCAUACGACCUGAGGGUGAAAGUGGGGGACCGCAAGGCCUCAUGCUAUAGGAGCGGCCGAUGUCUGAUUAGCUAGUUGGUGGGGUAAAGGCCUACCAAGGCGACGGUCAGUAGCUGGUCUGAGAGGAUGAUCAGCGACCCGGGCAAUGAAACAGGGCCCAGACUAAUACGGGAGGCAGCAGGGGGGAAUUUGGGACAAUGGGCUAAAGCCUGAUCCAGCAAUGCCGCGUGUGUGAAGAAGGCCUUCGGGUUGUAAAGCACUUUUGUCCGGAAAGAAAUGGCUCUGGUUAAUACCUGGGGUCGAUGACGGUACCGGAAGAAUAAGGACCGGCUAACUACGUGCCAGCCGCCGCCGUAA
This 508-nucleotide ribosomal RNA is filed under the name uncultured bacterium. RNAcentral describes it as "partial 16S ribosomal RNA". It matches the Rfam family "Bacterial small subunit ribosomal RNA", at positions 30 to 523 of the family's 1533-position model. The record is from RNAcentral.